AAUUUCUCGGCCAGUUUCAUCAGCCGCAGGGCUUUGCGGUAGCCUUCGGGGUUGGGCAUUCCGAAAUUGCGGUGCUGCCGCUGCUUGGUAUUAC
RNAcentral lists this transfer RNA (94 nucleotides) under Persicitalea jodogahamensis. RNAcentral describes it as "tRNA-Arg". Lineage: Bacteria; Pseudomonadati; Bacteroidota; Cytophagia; Cytophagales; Spirosomataceae. The record is from RNAcentral.